UGGGGAAUAUUGGACAAUGGGCGAAAGCCUGAUCCAGCCAUGCCGCGUGUGUGAAGAAGGUCUUCGGAUUGUAAAGCACUUUAAGUUGGGAGGAAGUGCAGUAAGCGAAUACCUUGCUGUUUUGACGUUACCGACAGAAUAAGCACCGGCUAACUCUGUGCCAGCAGCCGCGGUAAUACAGAGGGUGCAAGCGUUAAUCGGAAUUACUGGGCGUAAAGCGCGCGUAGGUGGUUCGUUAAGUUGAAUGUGAAAGCCCCGGGCUCAACCUGGGAACUGCGUCCAAAACUGGCGAGCUAGAGUAGGGCAGAGGGUGGUGGAAUUUCCUGUGUAGCGGUGAAAUGCGUAGAUAUAGGAAGGAACACCAGUGGCGAAGGCGACCACCUGGGCUCAUACUGACACUGAGGUGCGAAAGCGUGGGGAGCAAACAGG
This 429-nucleotide ribosomal RNA is filed under the name Pseudomonadota bacterium. RNAcentral describes it as "Proteobacteria bacterium partial 16S ribosomal RNA". It matches the Rfam family "Bacterial small subunit ribosomal RNA", at positions 355 to 776 of the family's 1533-position model. Lineage: Bacteria; Pseudomonadati; Pseudomonadota. The record is from RNAcentral.